UGGGGGAAUAUUGGGCAAUGGACGCAAGUCUGACCCAGCAACGCCGCGUGAAGGAAGAAGGCUUUCGGGUUGUAAACUUCUUUUGUCAGGGAACAGUAGAAGAGGGUACCUGACGAAUAAGCCACGGCUAACUACGUGCCAGCAGCCGCGGUAAUACGUAGGUGGCAAGCGUUGUCCGGAUUUACUGGGUGUAAAGGGCAUGUAGGCGGUCUGUCAAGCCAGGCGUGAAAGCCAGGGGCUCAACCCCUGAACUGCGCUUGGAACUGGCGGACUGGAGUCGCUGAGGGGGAACCGGAAUUCCUGGUGUAGGGGUGAAAUCUGUAGAUAUCAGGAAGAACACCGAUGGCGAAGGCAGGUUUCCAGCAGACGACUGACGCUGAGGUGCGAAGGUGCGGGGAGCAAACAGGAUUAGAUACCCUGGUAGU
Molecule: ribosomal RNA, 425 nt
Filed under: uncultured Oscillibacter sp.
Lineage: Bacteria; Bacillati; Bacillota; Clostridia; Eubacteriales; Oscillospiraceae
Description: bacterial SSU rRNA
Rfam family: Bacterial small subunit ribosomal RNA
Source: RNAcentral